GAUUUUACGCAUUCAACAGGGCAAAAAAUUAAGUGUCCUGGUCAACCACCUCCAAGAUUGAAUCAUCAACUGUUUAAAUUAUUAUUAGGUUUUUCAAAUAGCUAACUGGUUGGUUCGCUUGGGCCAUAUUCUAGCAAAUUCUUUUGAUGAUUUAUUUCAAUUUAAUUACUGGACUGCCAGAACCAAAUGAAAGUUUUGAUCUUGACCAGUACUAAAG
This 217-nucleotide long non-coding RNA is filed under the name Olea europaea (common olive). RNAcentral describes it as "long non-coding RNA (OEUR_LNC010042)". Lineage: Eukaryota; Viridiplantae; Streptophyta; Magnoliopsida; Lamiales; Oleaceae. The record is from RNAcentral.